AAAUUUUGUGAUGUCUUCAAAAUGAUAUUUGAAAGAAAGACAUGCAAUUAGAAACGUUCCCAAACCAAAAGUUUUAGUUAAGAUACGAAAUUUCAUACCAAUUGCAAAACUGCCAGUUUCUCUCGCAUUUACGUAAAAGUUCUACCGAAAGCCAGGGGCAGGGAAAAAAACGCGAGACGACUAGGCUACAAAAUUAUUUCUCUAUUCUGUGAUUAUUUCACAUGUGGCCAUGUUUUUAAGAUGAAAACAUACUCAGUUGCACUCACGAGGCCCUGUUAGGGUUUUAGGAUUACGGAUUAUUUGGCAUUUUUGGGCAGGAUUACGGAUUAUUGCUAGUUAAAAAAAAAGAUUAUGGAUUAUUUUGAUAGGAUUUUAGGAUUAAG
Paramuricea clavata is the source of this 383-nucleotide non-coding RNA. The record is from the annotation of a GenBank genome assembly. Lineage: Eukaryota; Metazoa; Cnidaria; Anthozoa; Malacalcyonacea; Plexauridae.